GUUCCCGUAGCUCAUUCGGAUAGAGCGUCUGCCUCCGGAGCAGAAGGUGAUGGGUUCGAGCCCCGUCGGGAACGCCA
This 77-nucleotide transfer RNA is filed under the name Lentisphaerota bacterium. Its description in RNAcentral is "Lentisphaerae bacterium (anaerobic digester metagenome) tRNA-Arg". It matches the Rfam family "tRNA". Rfam says of the family: Transfer RNA (tRNA) molecules are approximately 80 nucleotides in length. Their secondary structure includes four short double-helical elements and three loops (D, anti-codon, and T loops). Lineage: Bacteria; Pseudomonadati; Lentisphaerota. The record is from RNAcentral.